CAAGGUCUCCGUAGGUGAACCUGCGGAGGGAUCAUUACACAAAU
This 44-nucleotide ribosomal RNA is filed under the name Alternaria sp. ZC-2014. RNAcentral describes it as "partial 18S ribosomal RNA". Lineage: Eukaryota; Fungi; Ascomycota; Dothideomycetes; Pleosporales; Pleosporaceae. The record is from RNAcentral.